RNAcentral lists this ribosomal RNA (1407 nucleotides) under metagenome. RNAcentral's name for it is "bacterial LSU rRNA". It matches the Rfam family "Bacterial large subunit ribosomal RNA", at positions 1516 to 2925 of the family's 2925-position model. The record is from RNAcentral.
CCUGUGAGGCUGAUUCGUAGGCAAAUCCGCGAAUCAUUAAGGCUGGGCUGUGAUGGGGAGCGAAAAUUAUAGUAGCGAAGGUCAUGUACUCCGGCUGUCAAGAAAAGCCUCUAGCCAGGUGAAGGUGCCCGUACCGCAAACCGACACAGGUAGGCGAGCAGAGCAUGCUAAGGCGCGCGGAAGAACUCUCGUUAAGGAACUCGGCAAAAUGACCCCGUAACUUCGGGAGAAGGGGUGCCCCGGUAAGGUUAAUAGCCUGAGGGGGCCGCAGUGAAAAGGCCCAAUCGACUGUUUAGCAAAAACACAGGUCUGUGCGAAGCCGUAAGGCGAAGUAUACGGGCUGACGCCUGCCCGGUGCUGGAAGGUUAAGGGGAGCGGUUAGGGGUAACCCGAAGCUGUGAACUGAAGCCCCAGUAAACGGCGGCCGUAACAAUAACGGUCCUAAGGUAGCGAAAUUCCUUGUCAGGUAAAUUCUGACCCGCACGAAUGGCGUAACGAAUUGGGCGCUGUCUCAACGAGAGAUCCGGUGAAAUUUUAAUACCUGUGAAGAUGCAGGUUACCCGCGACAAGACGGAAAGACCCCAUGGAGCUUUACUGUAACUUGAUAUUGAACUUUGGUACGAUCUGUACAGGAUAGGUGGGAGCCAUUGAAGCAUGAGCGCCAGCUUGUGUGGAGGCAACGUUGGGAUACCACCCUGAUCGUAUCGGAGUUCUAACCUAGAACCAUGAAACUGGUUCGGGGACCGUGUCAGGUGGACAGUUUGACUGGGGCGGUCGCCUCCUAAAAUGUAACGGAGGCGCCCAAAGGUUCCCUCAGAAUGGUUGGAAAUCAUUCGAAGAGUGCAAAGGCAUAAGGGAGCUUGACUGCGAGACCUACAAGUCGAGCAGGGACGAAAGUCGGGCUUAGUGAUCCGGUGGUACCGAAUGGAAGGGCCAUCGCUCAACGGAUAAAAGCUACCCUGGGAUAACAGGCUUAUCUCCCCCAAGAGUCCACAUCGACGGGGAGGUUUGGCACCUCGAUGUCGGCUCAUCGCAUCCUGGGGCUGAAGUAGGUCCCAAGGGUUGGGCUGUUCGCCCAUUAAAGCGGUACGCGAGCUGGGUUCAGAACGUCGUGAGACAGUUCGGUCCCUAUCUGUCGCGGGCGCAGGAAAUUUGAGAGGAGCUGUCCUUAGUACGAGAGGACCGGGAUGGACGUACCGCUGGUGUACCAGUUGUUCCGCCAGGAGCACCGCUGGGUAGCCAAGUACGGACGGGAUAAGCGCUGAAAGCAUCUAAGCGUGAAGCCCCCCUCAAGAUGAGAUUUCCCAGUAUGUAAGACCCCUUGAAGACGACGAGGUUGAUAGGUUCGGGGUGGAAGCACAGCAAUGUGUGGAGCUGACGAAUACUAAUCGGUCGAGGGCUUAUCCG